UGAUCACAUCACUUUGAAACACCUGUUCCUGCAUGAUUACUGAAGUUAAGCAAUGUCAAGCCUGGUCAGUACAUAGAUAGGUGACUGCUUGGGAAUACCAGGUGAUGUAAG
Non-coding RNA from Acanthosepion pharaonis, 111 nucleotides. The record is from the annotation of a GenBank genome assembly. Lineage: Eukaryota; Metazoa; Mollusca; Cephalopoda; Sepiida; Sepiidae.